RNAcentral lists this unclassified non-coding RNA (221 nucleotides) under soil metagenome. Its description in RNAcentral is "partial internal transcribed spacer 1". The record is from RNAcentral.
UUGGAUUUUAUCACACACCACAAGUGUUUUGGGGGGGAUUGAGAGAGAGAGAGAUCUCUUUCUUUCUUUCUUUCUUUCCUUCCUGGCACUUCAACCAAACGAUCACAACUAAGAGAAUGAGACAGAGAAAAAUGGCUUUGGCUUUUUUCUGGGCUUGCUUGCGAGGGGAACAAAAAAGUGUUUGCCUGAUAAUUGGUUGACUUUGAUAAAUCAAAACAACA